This 1421-nucleotide ribosomal RNA is filed under the name metagenome. Its description in RNAcentral is "bacterial SSU rRNA". It matches the Rfam family "Archaeal small subunit ribosomal RNA". The record is from RNAcentral.
ACCCGUUGAUCCUGCGGGAGAUGCUGCUAUCCGAAUUCCACUUAGGCAUGCAAGUCAGGUGCUUCUUCGGAAGAAACUGGCGGAAUGCUCAGUAACACGUUGAUAAUCUAACCUAUGACCUGGACAAGCCUUGGGAAACUGAGGGAUAUGCCGGAUAGGUAAUUGAGGCUGGAAUGCACUUUUACUCAACAUAGGAUGAGUCAGCGGCCGAUUAGCUUGUUGGUGAGGUAAUGGCUCACCAAGGCGACGAUCGGUAGGAGCCUUGAGAGAGGUAGCUCCGAGAAGGGCACUGAGAAAAGGGCCCUAGCCCUACGGGGUGCAGCAGCUAGGAAACCUUUACACUGCGCGCAAGCGCGAUAAGGGGAUUCGGAGUGCUUACGUUUUUGCGUAAGCUUUUGCCAAGAGUAAAUACCUUGGCGAAUAAGUGGUGGGAAAGACUGGUGCCAGCCGCCGCGGUAAUACCAGCGCCACGAGUGGUAUUCGUGUUUAUUGGGCCUAAAGCGUUCGUAGCAGGCUUGACUAGUUCUUUGUGAAAUCGUGCAACUCAAUUGUACGGCGUGCAAAGAAUACUACCAAGCUUGAGACUGGGAGACGUAUAGAGUAUUUCGGGGCCAGCGGUAAAAUGUGUUGAUCCCCGAAGGACUGCCGAUGGCGAAGGCACUAUACGAGAACAGGUCUGACUGUGAGGAACGAAAGCCAGGGGAGCAAAAUGGAUUAGAUACCCAAGUAGUCCUGGCCGUAAACACUGUGCGCUAGGCGUUGGGGAAACUACAUGUUUUUCCAGUGUCGUAGAGAAGUCGUUAAGCGCACCGCCUGGGAAGUACGGUCGCAAGGCUGAAACUUAAAGGAAUUGGCGGGGGAGCACUACAAGGGGUGCUUCGUGCGGUUUAAUUUAAUUUUACACAGAGAAUCUCACUAGAACCAACGGCAGUGUGACGAUCUGGCUGAAGACCAUAUCUGACGAGCCGAGUGGUGUUGCAUGGCCGCCGUCAGCUCGUGCCGCAAGGUGUCCUCUUAAGUGAGGUAACGAGCGAGACCUGCGUCCACAAUUGCUAACGAUAUCUCCGGGUAGAUCGAGCACUUUGUGGGGACUGCCUUAGAAAUAAGGAGGAAGGUGCAGGCAACGGUAGGUCUGUAUGGCCCUAAUGUUCUAGGCUACACGCGCGAUGCAAUGAUAGAGACAAUGGGAUACAACUCCGAAAGGAGAAGUUAAACCUCGAAACUCUAUCUUAGUUUAGAUUGAGGCUUGUAACUCAGCCUCAUGACACCGGAAUCCCUAGUAAUUGGAUAUUAUCAGUAUCCAGUGAAUACGUCCCUGCUCCUUGCACACACCGCCCGUCAAACCAGUCGAGCAGGUUCUGGAUGAGGUUUGCUUUUUUGAGCCAAUCGAAUCUAGGAUCAGUGAGAUGGGUUAAGUCGUC